GGGAUAGACUAGAAUGGACUGAGGAGUGCUAUAGGGUGGCAAGGGCAGACAGAUGAGAGGGAGUCCCCCUACUGCUCAUUCUGGCUCCCUUGUCUGGACAAGAAAGGAGACACUGGUCCUGACUGGAUCUCGGGUGCUCUGACCUGGAGGGCAGUUAGCCCCAUACAGGCCUUCCUCAGUGCUCCUGAAGGAACAUCCCCUUGGGUGUGACCACAGCCUGUUGGGCCUUCUGUACAGAGCCAUCCUGAGUCCUUCACUGACAUCCUGUCUCCCAUAUCUGAGCACUUCCCCGCCAUCCUACGUGGAGCCUGGAUCCCUGAGGAUCAGCAGGGUGUCAGAGUCUGCAGAGACUGGGAGAGCAAAUAGACAAUAAAACCAUGAGAGGGAGUCUGCGAC
Molecule: non-coding RNA, 396 nt
Organism: Rattus norvegicus (Norway rat)
Lineage: Eukaryota; Metazoa; Chordata; Mammalia; Rodentia; Muridae
Source: RefSeq, a predicted model, not a curated record